UAGGAUAGAGGCCUACCAUGGUGGUAACGGGUAACGGGGUGUUAGGGCACGACACCGGAGAGGGAGCCUGAGAAACGGCUACCACAUCCAAGGAUGGCAGCAGGCGCGCAAAUUACCCAAUCCCGACACGGGGAGGUAGUGACAAUAAAUAACAAUACGGGGUUCUUUCGGAUCUCGUAAUUGGAAUGAGUACAAUUUAAAUCUCUUAACGAGGAACAAUUGGAGGGCAAGUCUGGUGCCAGCAGCCGCGGUAAUUCCAGCUCCAAUAGCGUAUAUUAAGUUGUUGCAGUUAAAAAGCUCGUAGUUGAAUUUCGGGGUUAGUAGGUUGGUCAUGCCUCUGGUAUGUACUGGUCUCACUGAUUCCUCCUUCCUUAUGAACCGUAAUGCCAUUAAUUUGGUGUUGCGGGGAAUUUGGACUGUUACUUUGAAAAAAUUAGAGUGUUUAAAGCAAGCUAACGCUUGAAUACAUUAGCAUGGAAUAAUGAAAUAGGACGUUCGAUCUUAUUUUGUUGGUUUCUAGGAUUGACGUAAUGAUUAAUAGGGAUAGUUGGGGGCAUUAGUAUUCAAUUGUCAGAGGUGAAAUUCUUGGAUUUAUUGAAGACUAACUACUGCGAAAGCAUUUGCCAAGGAUGUUUUCAUUAAUCAAGAACGAAAGUUAGGGGAUCGAAGACGAUCAGAUACCGUCGUAGUCUUAACCAUAAACUAUGCCGACUAGGGAUCGG
This 722-nucleotide ribosomal RNA is filed under the name uncultured fungus. Its description in RNAcentral is "SSU rRNA". It matches the Rfam family "Eukaryotic small subunit ribosomal RNA", at positions 329 to 1056 of the family's 1831-position model. The record is from RNAcentral. Lineage: Eukaryota; Fungi.